This 181-nucleotide antisense RNA is filed under the name Lotus japonicus. RNAcentral describes it as "Antisense RNA which regulates isiA expression". It matches the Rfam family "Antisense RNA which regulates isiA expression". Lineage: Eukaryota; Viridiplantae; Streptophyta; Magnoliopsida; Fabales; Fabaceae. The record is from Rfam by way of RNAcentral.
AAUAACCAAAUAUAAUAGUUGGACUAAGUCAAAUUGGUAAUUUUUCUUGCAUGUCCCUUUGGAGCCCAGGUAUCACAUAUACCCCCAAAAUAAAAAGCCUUGAAGACUAGAAGAAAAUCCCCCUAUACCUAACAAGAUUAAGUGAAUACCCAAAAGUGUAGUCAUUUUAUUACGCCCUGAG